Molecule: ribosomal RNA, 538 nt
Filed under: uncultured archaeon
Lineage: Archaea
Description: bacterial SSU rRNA
Rfam family: Archaeal small subunit ribosomal RNA
Source: RNAcentral
CCAGCCGCCGCGGGAACACCGGCAGCUCUAGUGGUAGCAAUUUUAUGGGCCUAAAGCGUCCGUAGCCGGUUUAAUAAGUCUCUGGUGAAAUCCUGCAGCUUAACUGUGGGAAUUGCUGGAGAUACUAUUAGACUUGAGACCGGGAGAGGUUAGAGGUACUCCCAGGGUAGAGGUGAAAUUCUGUAAUCCUGGGAGGACCGCCUGUUGCGAAGGCGUCUAACUGGAACGGUUCUGACGGUGAGGGACGAAAGUUAGGGGCGCGAACCGGAUUAGAUACCCGGGUAGUCCUAACUGUAAACGAUGCGGACUUGGUGUUGGGGUGGCUUUGAGCUGCUUCAGUGCCGAAGGGAAGCUGUUAAGUCCGCCGCCUGGGAAGUACGGUCGCAAGACUGAAACUUAAGGAAUUGGCGGGGGAGCACCACAACGCGUGGAGCCUGCCGGUUUAAUUGGAUUCAACGCCGGACAUCUCACCAGAGGCGACAGCUGUAUGAUAGCCAGGUUGAUGACUUUGCUUGACUAGCUGAGUGGUGGUGCAUGG